The sequence is a transfer RNA, 71 nucleotides long. It matches the Rfam family "tRNA". Rfam says of the family: Transfer RNA (tRNA) molecules are approximately 80 nucleotides in length. Their secondary structure includes four short double-helical elements and three loops (D, anti-codon, and T loops). The record is from Rfam.
GGUGAGGUGGUCGAGUGGUUAGGCAGCGGCCUGCAAAGCCGUGUACGCGGGUUCGAAUCCCGUCCUCACCU